Molecule: long non-coding RNA, 4123 nt
Filed under: Eucalyptus grandis
Lineage: Eukaryota; Viridiplantae; Streptophyta; Magnoliopsida; Myrtales; Myrtaceae
Description: long non-coding RNA (EGRA_LNC005395)
Source: RNAcentral
CCCAGAUAAGCGCAACCAAGAACUGCGAGGAAAUCAUAAGAAUCUUCACAUCAGCUUUGGAGAAAUUGAUGAUGGACAUGAACCGUAAGGAAUCAACUGAAGUUCAUCAAAGUUGCUUUCCCAGGAUAUACCUAACAUACGUAUUUCAAAAGCUGUAUAUAAAGAUACAUAUGAUGAUUAGAUAAUGUCUGUGAUUUAUAUAUCAUCAUCAACUCUGUGCUUGUGUGAUGGAGGAGAUGGGUUAAGCAUGAAGAGUUUCCACUGCUUUGCACGUGAAACUUGCAUGGCUUCAAUAUGCACACAUAGUGUGACAUCCUGAAAUUCGAGUCCUCUAAGGAAUGAAUGGAUAUGAAUUUCGUCAAUGCAUUGUUGGUUGAUCUCACUCAGAAUUGAUCACUCCUAAGAUACUGACCUUGAGGGGAAAGGCUAAUGAGAACAUAACUUGUACGACUAAAGGACUCGACCUGGGAAAACGACUUGACCAUGAGACUUGCGUGAAGAUGAUCCUGUAGAUAGGCAGGCCAAUUCUAAGGACGACUAGAAGUCGAUUCGUGGACAGAACAUAAUGGAACGACGAGUGAUUCCGUUUACCAUUAUCGAACCCGCGAACGACCCUAUGUCGAUCCUCAGUGAUCGUGUACUUUGAAAUAAGAAUCUAUCCUCCGUAAUUUCAUGCAGUCAAGGAUGUCCAUGCGUCGAGAUGUUUUGAACGUGGUUUGGCACGAGUCGGUUACGCGUGAAUCCUCGGAGCCGCCGGUCAAUCUGAGUUGUAAUCGAAAUGGCAUUUGGCAAAAUUGACAUGGCAAGAGAACUUAGGAUUGGACUUUAAAUUAUGGGGAAUGUCCGGGACGGACUUUGGAUGAAGUUACAGCAACAGUCAACAGAGCCAGUGAAGCCGAACAAUUGAAAAAGGGAUUUUCGGACCGAGGAAGCAAACUCGUGAUGAAGUGGGCUGAGCCAAGCCAGUGUGGGCCUUAGGCCCAAGGUGGGACAGCCACCAUAAUAGGCCUAAGUCAAGCAAAUGAGCCCAUUGGGCCAAUCAAACUAUUCCUUCUUCUAAGCCCUUUAAUAAACCUUAAGCCCAUUUGAGCCCAAUCAAGCCCAACCAAUUCCCGAGCCCGUUCCCGUUCAUUUCUAAGCCCAUUUCUUAGGCCCGGCCUUCAUUUUCAGCCCAAGGACAGAAUGGUAAUUGUGCAAUGUGAAAUGACCAAAAUACCCCUAGUUGUAGGGAGAAAAAGGCUAGAGAAGAGAGAGAAGAUGAUGUCACCAUGCAUGGGAACUUGAAGCAGCCAUUUAAUGGCCUUAAUGAGGAGUACUUUCAGCCCUCACUUCACUCUCUCUCUCUCCCCCAUUCGGCCUCAAAAUCGGACGAGCUCCUCUCUCUCCUCGUUUUCUUCUUCUCCAGUUUCUGCUCCAGCUGACCCUUCGGUGAAGAAUUGAGUCAAAAGUGGUCUUCCCGGAUGAAUCAGACAACGAGCCACAUAUCACCAUGACCGGGAGAGAAGACCGUUCCAACGAGCCCAAUUUCGUCCCGAACGGAGCUUCCGACCGUCCUGUACGUCCAUCUCAAGAUGCCGGUCGCCGGACCGCCUGGUUCCGCCCUACUUCGCCUGUUUCGACUUUGCAGCCCGUUUUCUUCCAUUCCAGCCGUUCCUUUGCUCAUCCCAACCACCCACAAGAUCCCCAAGACCCCUGGGAGCCACCGGUUGCCGACAAACCCCUUGCCGGAGCUCCGGCCAAGCCGUUCAACUUGUUUUCUUCUCUGGCAGGGCUGUUUUUCAGAAGUUUCAGUGGGAGUCCGAGCUGUGGUUGCUGUGUUGAGCUUGGGACCACCUUGGAUCAUUGUGGUAGAGGUCCCGGAGCAUCGCCUCCGUCAUCACCGCCGCGUCGGUGCCUCCGGCCCGCUUAACGGGUGAGUUUAGCUCCUAAUCCUUCGAUUAGUGCCUAAACUUGCUUAGGGUUGGUUUAGUUAGAUUUAAUCCUAGUUUAAGUGAUUUAAUUAAGUUGCAUUAGCCCUAAGAUAGGUGGUUAGAUGGAUGGAUUAGAUUAGUCUAGCUUAAUCUUGCUUUAUUUGCUUAAUGUGGUUUAUGUGGUUAAUUAAGUAUGCUUGGCUUUAAUUAAUUGAUGGUUGCUUUAAUUAAUGUUUUUAAUGAUUUCUGAAUUUAAUUUAUAGUUUAUUAAAUUCUGGGAAUUUACUGUUUAUGCGACACUAUUCAUGAUUUACUGUUCACGAGCACUGUUCAUCCAGAGUGCGAAAAAUGUCUAAAAUUCACGUGUGCUGAUUUUAUGAAGUGAAUGGAUGUGUAAAUGCAUGGGCAUCUGCAUGAAUUGAGUGAUGACUUGUCUAAUUGUGUGAGUGAUUGUGAAAUAUAGGUAUUUUGAUUAGAAAAUACCGAGCGUCGGUUUACAACGCCAAAAAUGUGUAUAGUGGAUCCAUGGUAGGUUAUACAUCACCUCGGAGAAGGCACGUGGGCUCGGUGAUUAAGUAUGGCAUCUUGAAAGAGACACGUGGGCUCGGUAAUUUGAUGCAUUACCUCGGAGAAUGCACGUGGUCUCAAUGAGUACAUUUGGCAUCUUGAAAGAGACACGUGGGCUCGGUAAUUUGAUGCAUUACCUCGGAGAAUGCACGUGGUCUCAAUGAGUACAUUUGGCAUCUUAAAGAGACACGUGGGCUCGAUAACUUGAUGCAUCGCCUUGGAGAAUGCACGCGGGCUCACUGAUUCAGUAUGGCAUCUUAAAGAGACACGUGGGCUCGGUGACCUGAUGCAUCACCUUGGAGAAUGCACGUGGGCUCAAUGAAUAAGUAUGUCGUCUUGAAGAAUGCAUGUAGGCUCGACGACUAGAUAUUCCAUCACGAGAGAAAUGUACGGUAUCAAUUAAGCGACCGAGGCAAGGUCGAGUUGACAUGUAAUCGAUUGAGUCGAUUGAUCGAUAGCUCGAUCUGAAUUGAUGCAUUAUAUAUGCGUGAGUGAAUCACAUCGUUUAUGGCACACACGCAUAAAUCGAUAACGUGCAGAGUGUGGCAAUGACCAGGUGAGAUCGCUUGUGAUGCGACUCGUAUGUGAUUGAUGAAAUGUAUCAUCUAAUGGUCAUGUGCAUUGCGUGUAUCGUGCUGAAUUAUAACGUGCAGGGUAUGGCAUACCAGGUAAGGUUGUAUGCGAAUCGACUGUUGGUUGUUGCUUGUGGUGGGGUAGUUCUAGAUACAUACCCCGAGUUGAGUUGGUGUACUAACCGGGGCUUAGGGGUGGAACUCACUGAGAUUUAUAUCUCACUGGUUAUUGAAUAACCAUUUUCAGGUCCCUAGUGUGAAGAGCCAGGAGCUUGAAGCGGAAGGGUCAGGAGGAUAGGUGGCUCAGUAGUUCUUUAUGACAUAGACCUUCUGUAUAAGCUUGAAGUGUUUAUAAAAGUGUAUUUGAUUUGAAAUUGGUUGUCCUGCUUUUCUAACCCAUGUAUGUUAUUGUCAGGGGAUUAGUUAAUUUGCUUCCGCAUGUGCAAUAAAAUGAAAAGGGUCGGCGACGCGUCCUGGGAACGUCGCAAAUUUCUAUCGACCACCGAGGGAUGUGCGCGCGCUCGAGGUUCAGGGCGUGACACAUAGCUAAAAUACAAAGUGUAGUUUCCUUGAAGGCUCUCGGUUCCUUCAUGGAUCCUCCUCGUCAUAUAUUUCUUUAGGUUAUUCCACAUGAUAGAGAUACAACCACAACCGUAUCCCUAAAUUCUCAUCCUCUUCGUUUUGUCUCUAAACUGUAACACUUCUGGUCUCUGAGGCCUCGCCAAUCUCUGUCUCCCUCUCUCUCUCUCAACAGAAUAAUCUUAUAUUUUAGGUCAGUAACAUACAACCGCAAAGCCCAGAUCACCCAAUUCUUCGGAACCGAACCUCCGACCCUCCCAAAAAGGCAAAGGGAAAAGCUGUUCACUAAAAAAAUUCAAUUCCGGACUCACCUCGCUCUGGAAUAGCUGUGUCGGAGUGGGCGAGCUGCGAAAGAGAGGCGAUGGCGGCGAGUCUGGGCCCAACGACAAGAAGACGAGAGGUGCGUUCCUGCGGCGCACCAACAAGAGGCGAAUCGGCUAACGACGAUGGUGGCGACUGGCGAGGGUGCGGUGGAUAUAGGGUUGCUGGGCAAAG